Molecule: RNase P RNA, 304 nt
Filed under: uncultured Finegoldia sp.
Lineage: Bacteria; Bacillati; Bacillota; Tissierellia; Tissierellales; Peptoniphilaceae
Description: Bacterial RNase P class A
Rfam family: Bacterial RNase P class A
About the family: Ribonuclease P (RNase P) is a ubiquitous endoribonuclease, found in archaea, bacteria and eukarya as well as chloroplasts and mitochondria.
Source: RNAcentral
GAAUUCAUGAGGAAAGUCCGUGCACUAUAGAGCGAGGAUGCUGGAUAACGUCCAGUGGGGGCGACCCUAAGGCAAGUGCAACAGAGAUAUACCGCCAUUUUAAUGGUAAGGGUGGAAAGGUAAGGUAAGAGCUUACCAGCAUAAAGGUGACUUUAUGGCUAUGUAAACCCCAUUCAGUGCAAAAUCAAAUAGGAAUAAAGACGGCUGCUCGUCGUCUCCGGUAGGUAGAUUGCUUGAACUAAUUGGUAACAAUUAGUCUAGAUAGAUGAUUAUCAAAUACAGAACACGGCUUAUAGAUUUGGUC